RNAcentral lists this long non-coding RNA (1867 nucleotides) under Anolis carolinensis (green anole). RNAcentral describes it as "lncRNA (ENSACAG00000041372.1)". The record is from RNAcentral. Lineage: Eukaryota; Metazoa; Chordata; Lepidosauria; Squamata; Anolidae.
GUGCGCCGGCCUCGGAGAGCGGGCGUCCCCUAGCUAUGCCUCCCAGAGGGAGGCUUCCGAACUACAGUUCCCGUCGUCCUACGCGGGCGCCGGGUUGGCUCCGGCUCUUUUCCGAGAGAGGCUGGUUCCUAUUUUAAAUCCAGGCAGCGAUCAAAAUGGCGGCGUCGAGCUGAGCGCGAGAGGCGGAGGAGAGAGGCUCUCGGCGGUGUGUUUCCUCCAUCUCUCCCGAAAAUGUUAAGUACAGUUAUGCUCCUAAUGAAUGUGACACCAAGUGCCUGCUGAUCCUGAUGACCAUUGAAAAACCGUCCAAACUUGCCUGUAUUUUAAGGACGUGUAAGUUACUGAAAUAAUUUUUAAAAGUAGAUUAUAAAGAUGAUGUGUUUUUGUAGAUUGUAAAAUUUCCAACAUAUGCAUAACAUUGGUGGGUGUUUUAGUCAAAAUCAAGGAAGGUAAAGGUUACUUUCAGUAGAAGAUGUAGCUGUGUUUUAACUGAAUUCAAUGUGGGGUGUGCUUUUUUGCACACCUUUAAUCUUUUGAUUCAGUUAUUCAUUUUACUGAACAGAGAGAAUUCAGAAGGUUUUUUUAAUCAGCUAGAUCUUUUAUACUGCAAACCUUAGUGUGGGUUGCAGCUUAUUUUAAGCUAGCAUGGAGUUCCCGACUGAAUGGUACAUGUCCUGUUUUCCUAUUUCUGGUGGGACUGAAGAGCCAUCAAGUCCUAGGAACCAGCCAAGGGCUACUAGCAUAAUAUUCCUUAAUAUCCCACUUUAAUGUUUUUGUUGUUACUUCCACCUUUUGCACCAAGGUGGUUCACGUUUGUUAUUUCAGUAGGUCAGUAUUGCAGGUAAAACCUUGAAACUGAGAAACUGACUUACCUUAAGGCCACCUGGUUAGCUCACAACUGAAAUGAGAUUUGAAUCUUACUGAAUUUAUUCUAUUUCAGUGAAUCUAAUGCACCAUCGAGGGUAAGACAGUACCCUUUUUUGAAGCUCCAAAUUUGGAAAAAAUAUUUUCUUAGAAUAUUUUUUAGAAUUUUCUCUGCAUGCACAAUAUCUUGUUUUGUUUAAACCCGGAAGUCAUCUUGUAUCUUUUUAUUAGCUAAAUGGGCUAAUAGGAAGGCAGGGGACUCAGGAAGUAGUGCUUAACACAGCCAGACUGUUAAAUGUUGAGGCUGAGAAAAAAAUGGUGGGAGCUGGUAGAGUAAUUGGGACUGGGACUCCUCCUCCUCUCUCAGAGUUAAGCCAUUUUUUCCCCCAAAAAAAUCUGAAUCAAAGGCACCAUUAAUUUUAAGAUGCAUUUCUAUUUUUGAAGCAUCUAAACAGUGGAACAGUGCUCCUUGGAAUCAGUGAAAUAGGGUAUUUAUUUAUAUUAUUUUUUGAUAUCUGGUUAUUCUCCCAGUAUGAGUACAAGGCAGUUUAAAAAAUUAAACCAAAUGUAGCUAAAGCAUUUGACAGAAACAUUUUAAAAAUUAAAUAAACAAUUAUAUUGUAAACUUUGCAUUAAAAACAGUUCAAAAUACACCAAAAUGCUGUAAAAAAAGAAAUAUAUAUCUAUAACAUCUCAUUAAAUUAUCUUUCUGCCACAGUAUGUUAAUAGUCCUGAGGCCUGCCUACAUAAAGGAAUUUCUAUCUUCUGCCCUUGAAUAAGAGGCUUAAAUAGUAAUGUUAGUAUAAAUACCAAAGUGUGGAGGUAAAUGAGGUAAAUAUUAAAAUAUCUUAUAUUCAGAGGACUAUAUUUGAGUUUGUAGAUGCUGGAAAUCAGAAGCUGCUAAAUAGCUCUUGACCCAUAUAGUGGGGAAAAAAAGUAUUUAGUCAGAUGCCAAUUGUACAAGUUCUCCCACUGAAAAAGAUGAGAGAAGCCUGUAAUUGAC